This 510-nucleotide ribosomal RNA is filed under the name uncultured bacterium. Its description in RNAcentral is "partial 16S ribosomal RNA". It matches the Rfam family "Bacterial small subunit ribosomal RNA", at positions 28 to 507 of the family's 1533-position model. The record is from RNAcentral.
GACGAACGCUGGCGGCGUGCUUAACACAUGCAAGUCGAACGAAGAGCGAUGGAAGCUUGCUUCUAUCAAUCUUAGUGGCGAACGGGUGAGUAACGCGUAAUCAACCUGCCCUUCAGAGGGGGACAACAGUUGGCAACGACUGCUAAUACCGCAUACGUUCUGACCUCGGCAUCGAGGAUAGAUUAAAGGUGGCCUCUACAUGUAAGCUAUCACUGAAGGAGGGGAGUGCGUCUGGUUAGCUAGUUGGAGGGGUAACGGCCCACCAAGGCGAUGAUCAGUAGCCGGGCUGGGAGGAUGAACGGCCACAUUGGGACUGAGACACGGCCCAGACUCCUACGGGAGGCAGCAGUGGGGAAUCUUCCGCAAUGGACGACAGUCUGACGGAGCAACGCCGCGGGAGUGAUGACGGCCUUCGGGUUGUAAAGCUCUGUUAAUCGGGACGAAAGGCCUUUUUGCGAAUAGUGAGAAGGAUUGACGGUACCGGAAGAGAAAGCCACGGCUAACUACGUG